RNAcentral lists this ribosomal RNA (22 nucleotides) under Colletotrichum truncatum. RNAcentral's name for it is "partial 18S ribosomal RNA". Lineage: Eukaryota; Fungi; Ascomycota; Sordariomycetes; Glomerellales; Glomerellaceae. The record is from RNAcentral.
UGACGCGGGAGGACAUUACUGA